This 253-nucleotide ribosomal RNA is filed under the name uncultured bacterium. RNAcentral describes it as "partial 16S ribosomal RNA". It matches the Rfam family "Bacterial small subunit ribosomal RNA", at positions 524 to 776 of the family's 1533-position model. The record is from RNAcentral.
UACGGGGGGGGCAAGCGUUGUUCGGAAUUACUGGGCGUAAAGGGUUCGUAGGUGGCCAACUAAGUCAGACGUGAAAUCCCUCAGCUUAACUGGGGAACUGCGUCUGAGACUGGAUGGCUUGAGUGCAGGAGAGGAACGCGGAAUUCCAGGUGUAGCGGUGAAAUGCGUAGAUAUCUGGAGGAACACCGGUGGCGAAGGCGGCGUUCUGGACUGUUUCUGACACUGAAAAACGAAAGCCAGGGGAGCAAACGGG